CCUACGGGCGGCUUCAGUGAGGAAUAUUGGUCAAUGGACGAGAGUCUGAACCAGCCAAGUAGCGUGAAGGAUGACUGCCCUAUGGGUUGUAAACUUCUUUUAUAUGGGAAUAAAACGUUCCACGUGUGGGAUUUUGUAUGUACCAUAUGAAUAAGGAUCGGCUAACUCCGUGCCAGCAGCCGCGGUAAUACGGAGGAUCCGAGCGUUAUCCGGAUUUAUUGGGUUUAAAGGGAGCGUAGGUGGAUUGUUAAGUCAGUUGUGAAAGUUUGCGGCUCAACCGUAAAAUUGCAGUUGAAACUGGCAGUCUUGAGUACAGUAGAGGUGGGCGGAAUUCGUGGUGUAGCGGUGAAAUGCUUAGAUAUCACGAAGAACUCCGAUUGCGAAGGCAGUUCACUGGACUGCAACUGACACUGAGGCUCGAAAGUGUGGGUAUCAAACAGGAUUAGAUACCCCUGUAGUC
Molecule: ribosomal RNA, 460 nt
Filed under: uncultured bacterium
Lineage: Bacteria
Description: partial 16S ribosomal RNA
Rfam family: Bacterial small subunit ribosomal RNA
Source: RNAcentral